Molecule: ribosomal RNA, 253 nt
Filed under: uncultured bacterium
Lineage: Bacteria
Description: partial 16S ribosomal RNA
Rfam family: Bacterial small subunit ribosomal RNA
Source: RNAcentral
UACGUAGGGGGCGAGCGUUGUCCGGAUUUAUUGGGCGUAAAGAGCGUGUAGGCGGCCAGGUAGGUCUGCUGUGAAAACUCGAGGCUCAACCUCGAGACGUCGGCGGAAACCAUCUGGCUAGAGUCCGGAAGAGGAGAGUGGAAUUCCUGGUGUAGCGGUGAAAUGCGCAGAUAUCAGGAAGAACACCCGUGGCGAAGGCGGCAUCCUGGACCAUUACUGACGCUGAGGCGCGAAAGCUAGGGGAGCAAACGGG